RNAcentral lists this ribosomal RNA (1668 nucleotides) under Triticum aestivum (bread wheat). RNAcentral's name for it is "partial small subunit ribosomal RNA". The record is from RNAcentral. Lineage: Eukaryota; Viridiplantae; Streptophyta; Magnoliopsida; Poales; Poaceae.
AUGACGUCCUGCGGAGGCGCCACCGCGGCAUGCCCGGACGGCCGCGUCAUCACCGCCCCCCUGCUCGCCAAGCCGGGGGAGGUCGUCGUCCAGGUCUGCGGUGACGAGGCGGCCGCGCCGGUGCUCACGUGCAAGCCGCCCGGCCGGCUUGCCAGGGCGGUGAAGGAAGCCUGGUCCGUUUCUUUGGGCAUCGCGCUCCCGAUGAUGCCGCCCGUGUCGGCCACCGCGGCCCGCGACGAGGCGCGCUCCAUUCUCGGCCUCGCAUUCCCGAUGAUCCUCACCGGGCUGCUGCUCUACCUCCGCUCCAUGAUUUCGAUGCUCUUCCUCGGCCGUCUCGGCGGCCUGGCGCUCGCCGGCGGCUCCCUCGCCAUCGGCUUCGCCAACAUCACCGGAUACUCUGUGCUCUCCGGCCUCGCCAUGGGCAUGGAGCCGAUAUGCGGCCAGGCAUUCGGCGCGGGUAACUACUCGCUCAUUGGUGUCACCGUGCAGCGGACGGUGCUCCUCCUCAUCGCGGCCGCCGUCCCUAUCGGUGGCCUGUGGAUGCACAUGCGGCCUCUGCUCCUCCUCUGCGGACAGGACGCCGGCAUCGCCGCCGUCGCCGAGACCUACAUUCUUGCCUCGCUGCCUGACCUCCUCCUCCAGGCAUUCCUCCAUCCCGUGAGGAUAUAUCUCCGGAUGCAGUCCAUAAACCUGCCACUCACCGUGUGCGCCACGCUCGCCAUUGCCAUCCACCUGCCCAUCAACUACGUGCUGGUGACCGUGCUCGGGCUCGGCGUCAAGGGAGUGGCAAUGGCGUCCGUGCUGGCCAAUCUGAACCUGCUCCUCUUGCUUCUCGCCUACAUCUUCUUCAAAGGCGUCCACAAGCGCACCGGCGGCUUCGCGCUCUCCGCCGAGAGCUUCCGUGGGUGGGGCGAGCUCAUCAGCCUGGCUCUGCCGAGCUGCGUGAGCGUGUGCCUCGAGUGGUGGUGGUACGAGAUCAUGAUCCUGCUGUGCGGCCUGCUCCUGAACCCGCAGGCCACGGUGGCGUCCAUGGGCAUCCUGAUCCAGACCACGUCGCUCAUAUACAUCUUCCCUUCGUCGCUCAGCUUCGGCGUGUCGACGCGCGUCAGCAACGAGCUGGGCGCCGGGCAGCCGGAGCAGGCGAGCCGCGCGGCGACGGCGGGGAUCAUGCUCGGCUUCGCGUUCGGCGCCUUCGCCUCGGCGUUCGCAUUCCUCGUCCGGAACGUGUGGGCGAGCAUGUUCACGGCCGACCCGGCGAUCAUCGCGCUGACCGCGUCGGUGCUGCCGAUCCUGGGCCUGUGCGAGCUGGGCAACUGCCCGCAGACGACGGGGUGCGGCGUGCUGCGCGGCAGCGCGCGGCCAAAGGACGCCGCCAACAUCAACCUCCGGUCCUUCUACCUGGUGGGGACGCCGGUGGCGCUGGUGCUGGCCUUCUGGUUCCACUACGACUUCGAGGGCCUGUGGCUGGGGCUGCUGGCGGCGCAGGCCACCUGCAUGGUGCGCAUGCUCCUGGUGAUCGGGCGCACGGACUGGGCGGCCGAGGCCAAGCGGUCGAAGCAGCUCACCGGCUCCGACGCCCAGGGCAAAGUUGGCGCGGCCGACGGAGACGAGAAGUCGCGGCUGCUUAUGGACGACGCGGACAUCGAGCGGCCGAACGAUCGGUGUUGA